Molecule: ribosomal RNA, 393 nt
Filed under: uncultured bacterium
Lineage: Bacteria
Description: bacterial SSU rRNA
Rfam family: Bacterial small subunit ribosomal RNA
Source: RNAcentral
UAGGGAAUCUUGGACAAUGGGGAAACCCUGAUCCAGCCAUGCCGCGUGAGUGAAGAAGGCCUUAGGGUCGUAAAACUCUUUCGCCAGGGAAGAUAAUGACGGUACCUGGUAAAGAAACCCCGGCUAACUCUGUGCCAGCAGCCGCGGUAAUACGGAGGGGGUUAGCGUUGUUCGGAAUUACUGGGCGUAAAGCGCACGUAGGCGGGCUGAAAAGUUGGGGUGAAAUCCCGGGACUCAACCCCGGAACUGCUUCAAAAUCAUGACAGCCUAGAGUUCGAGAGAGGUGAGUGGAAUUCCGAGUGUAGAGGUGAAAUUCGUAGAUAUUCGGAGGAACACCAGUGGCGAAGGCGGCUCACUGGCUCGAUACUGACGCUGAGGUGCGAAAGUGUGGGG